CAAAAGUAGUAGAACUGACCUACUGGCACAGAAUGUUUUGGUUGCCUCAUAACUCUGUGAUGCCACAGACGCACUCCAAACUCCCAGAACAAGUUACCAAGCCCCAGAAAGCUGCCAAGGAAGGCUCUGAAGGCCCACUCAGUAGAAUAACCCCACCACCACUGAGUAGGAUACAGACACUUCAAAGUGUCCUUCCUCUGUGCAUACAUUUCCAAUAUGAGGCUCUUCCAGGAAAUGCAGCUGCAUCUGGUGUCCAGUGAACAAAGGCUUGAGGAGCACUCCUUUUCCAGCUACUUGGACAUAAGGAUUUGCUGUGUUCUCCCAUGAAAGACUGCUUCAUGACAGCUCUGUGUGUCUCUAUUACUUCAAGUCUAGAUUUACUGUGUUUUCCUCCAAAGAGGACUGUAUUCGUAGAACAAACUUUAAAGAGCAAA
This 434-nucleotide long non-coding RNA is filed under the name Anas platyrhynchos platyrhynchos (common mallard). RNAcentral's name for it is "lncRNA (ENSAPLG00000017634.1)". The record is from RNAcentral. Lineage: Eukaryota; Metazoa; Chordata; Aves; Anseriformes; Anatidae.